Non-coding RNA from Salmo salar (Atlantic salmon), 54 nucleotides. The record is from Rfam. NCBI's taxonomy places the organism in Eukaryota, Metazoa, Chordata, Actinopteri, Salmoniformes, Salmonidae.
UGCAGUCACUACUGCAAGUCUCUCUGGAUAAAAGCGUCUGCUAAAUGACUAAAA